UAUUGUCAGUGUGAGUGAAGGAGAGAGAACAGUGUCGUCUCACUGUGUGAGACUGUGAUGUCAUAGUCUUUGUCCCCUACGCCUGGCUCUGCUUUGACUGUAUCAAGCUAACCCAGACAGAGUGAGGACUAAGGGCAGAGAGAAAGGAACAGAAGGAGGAGAGGAGAUAGGGGGAGGUGAAAGGAUAGAGCACACUGAUCAUCCUUUGCAGAUAGGAGCAGUUAAGCAACAUACAAGGCUCAAAUACAUCCCCAGCUUCAGCUUUCACUGACCUGAGGAUCCCACAUCGACAUCAACUCUUCCAUGACCAAAGACUGACCAGCACCACAUUUGGAAAUAGAACACUUGUCAGAGCCAUAGUAAACCAUACUGCCGAUAACCCAUUUAUUUGUCACAUGCGCCGAAUACAACAAGUGUAGACCUUACCGUGAAAUGCUUACUUACAAGCCCUUAAUCAACAGUGCAGUUCAAGAAGAGUUAAGAAAAUAUUUAUCAAAUAAACUAAUGUAAAAAGUUUAUCAAAUUAACUAAUGUAAAAAGUAACACAAAAUAACAAUAACAAGGCUCUAUACAGGGGGUACUGGCACCAAUUCAGUGUGCAGGGGUACAGGUUAGUUGAGGUAAUUUGUACAUGUAGGUAGGGGUGAAGUGACUAUGCUUUGAUAAUAAACAGCGAGUAGUAGCAGUGUCCAACACUUCCCCUCCUUACUGUCACUAGAGAAGGACUUUCUAGAUCAGAUUAAUAUCUGAUAUCUCUAGUGCAGAAUUAAGAAUCACUGAAGCAUAAGCUACCCUAUAUAUUGUCCUCUGUCUAGGGGCUGAGCUAGGCUUCUCAUCACAGUCCAUCUUGGAACAGAUGGAGCUGAUGUAAAUAUUGACAUUGUGUGGCUGCCUGUCCUCAUCUGAUCUGUACUAAAAGAGAGAGAAGAGAAAGUUCUGGGAGCUCAUCCUUAACCCUUUGACUCCUCAACUGGCGGUGACUUCAGAGCUGCCCUAGGGGCAGUUGGAUGUGAGGCAGCUGUCCGCUGCAGUCGACAUACAACCAACUUUCUCUUCUUUUAUGCCCUCUGUUUGUUCUCUUUUUGUAGCUACACGUCUUUCUCUCUCGUCAAAGGGUUCAGAUAGGAGUGCUGGCAUAAACACAUUCCCGAGGGAAGACACACGCUCGCUCUCUCACUGGAGGCCUGAGUCCACGCUCGCUCUCUCACUGGAGGCCUGAGUCCACGCUCGCUCUCUCACUGGAGGCCUGAGUCAGAUUAUGCCACUGUGCAAGAAGUGUGCGUGUCAGUGACUCUGUCAUGUCUGUCUGUGAAUAAGUCCACCAUGGGCUGUGCCAUGUGUUCCCAGUUGAUUGACAUGUGGAGCGUGUCGGUGAGGAGAACCAGCCGCAGGGCCAUGGAACAGACUACCCUCCCCAAGGCGCUCCAGGGGGGCUACCACAGAGUCACCAGCCUCCACUACAUGUCCUCCUUCUCCGAUGCAGAGGACUGCUGCGAUGACAACAACAGUCACAACAGCACCACCGGCAGCUCCUUCACCAUGGACUGGCAAGAGACGGAUGACUGACACUUGGGCGGCAGGUAGCCUAGGGGUUAGAGAGGCGGGCCAGAAACCAGACGGUUGCUAGUUCAAAUGUGCCCUUGAGCAAAGCACUUAACCCCCAAAUCUGCUCCAUGGUUACUGCACUGUGGCUGACCCUGGCUUCCAACCCCUCAGGCAUGUAUGUGGGGGGUUGGGUUAAAAGCAAAAGACGAAUUUGUGUAAUCUGCGAAAAAAAUUGACAAUACGUAAACCCAACAUAAAUACGUUGGCUAAUUCUCUGUGUGUAUGUGAGUGAUUAAAAUGUCCAUUAUUGAUCAACAUUGUAUUCAUUCUACAGUAUUUAUUUCUCAUCUGAAUUAUUUUGUUUGUUUAUGUAUUUUUUUCUAUAGGGGGAAUAAGAAAGCCUUUCUCAGAACUCUCAAAACAUCCCACAAUGAUGUGGCCUUAUUGUCAAGACUCACACUCACCGUGUCAAUACAGACAGGAGUUUUUCUGACUACGGACCUGAGACCAGGAAAAUAUAGCCUAUAACCAGAGUUGUAGAGAAACAUGUAAUCAAUUACAAAGAACUGUAAUCAGUUACGUUACCAGCAGAACAUUGACAGGUAACUAGUAAGUCGUGGAUUACAUUUAGAAAGUUACCUUCCCAACCCUGCCUAUAACUAGCACCUGGACUUUUUCCAGGUCAGUUCAAGUGAAACACUCUGGGC
This is a long non-coding RNA of Salvelinus namaycush (lake trout), 2252 nucleotides long. RefSeq lists it as uncharacterized. The record is from RefSeq and is a predicted model, not a curated record. Lineage: Eukaryota; Metazoa; Chordata; Actinopteri; Salmoniformes; Salmonidae. The transcript has 3 exons.